RNAcentral lists this long non-coding RNA (681 nucleotides) under Vitis vinifera (wine grape). Its description in RNAcentral is "long non-coding RNA (VVIN_LNC006223)". Lineage: Eukaryota; Viridiplantae; Streptophyta; Magnoliopsida; Vitales; Vitaceae. The record is from RNAcentral.
AGGUUAUGACAGGAUGAUGGGGGUUGAUAACUUUGAAGAGAUUUAAAUGGCCAUGCAUGGCCUAGCAGAGAUGGGAAGGAUGAUGGGUAUGAUGGAUAUGAAACGAGUGCGGUAAGGUUGGAGAGAUGAGGGUAGCCAUGCGCAUAGGAAUUCAUGCACAUGGAAAGGAAGGAAGAAAAGUUCAUGGGGAUCGAGUGGAGGAAGAAGAGUGAUGUUGAGUAAAAAAUGUAAUAACAUGUAUUAGCCUCUCAUAGCCAGCAAGGAAGGAAUAGCAGUCAAGUUGGGUUUAUUGGGUGUAAUGUCUCUUUUCCUUGCAUUUUUGUAUUCAACUUUGGACGAUGAUGGCUUGCUCAAGGCUCUCAUGGUACUGGCGAAUGCCCAGCCCCAGCCCCAGCUUUUGCUUUGGCCAUGAAACAGAGGUCCCGGUGCUGCCGCUGUGGUGGAUUUGCCUUUCACGUUGUCUUUAACCGUGGAUGACAUCCAGUAUGACGAUGAGGAUGAGGAAGAGGAGGAUGGAGUCAUGAUGAACUCACCAAAGAAGCCAUCGCAUUUUACCCUCUCCUUGAACAAAAAAAAUCUCAACAUUGCUGAAACCAGGAGACACACGAAGUGGUGUCUAUACCAUAACAGGAUUUCGAUACUUGAAGAGAGAAGAGUUGCCCUAAAGUAGCUUUUGAAGGG